ACGCUCGACACCUACGGGGGGCAGCAGUCGGGAAUAUUGCGCAAUGGAGGAAACUCUGACGCAGUGACGCCGCGUGCAGGAAGAAGGUUUUCGGAUUGUAAACUGCUUUAGACAGGGAAGAAAAAAGAACAGUACCUGUAGAAUAAGCUCCGGCUAACUACGUGCCACAGCCGCGGUAAUCUGAGCGGGCGUGGCAAGGC
This 200-nucleotide ribosomal RNA is filed under the name uncultured bacterium. Its description in RNAcentral is "partial 16S ribosomal RNA". It matches the Rfam family "Bacterial small subunit ribosomal RNA", at positions 328 to 538 of the family's 1533-position model. The record is from RNAcentral.